This 664-nucleotide ribosomal RNA is filed under the name Chaetothyriales sp. JCM 28460. RNAcentral's name for it is "eukaryotic LSU rRNA". The stretch from base 252 to 406 matches the Rfam family "5.8S ribosomal RNA". Lineage: Eukaryota; Fungi; Ascomycota; Eurotiomycetes; Chaetothyriales. The record is from RNAcentral.
GGAAGUAAAAGUCGUAACAAGGUUUCCGUAGGUAAACCUGCGGAAGGAUCAUUACAGAGUUAGGGUCUUCUCGGCCCGACCUCCCAACCCUUUGCUUACUUAACUAUUGUUGCUUCGGCGAGCCCGUCAUCUUUUGAUGACCGCCGGAGGGCCGUGAUACGCUCUCUGGUCCGCGCUCGUCGGUGGCCAACCAUUUUUAAACGCUUAAAUAAACGUGUCUUUAUCUGAGUACUAUAUUUAAAUAAAAGCAAAACUUUCAACAACGGAUCUCUUGGUUCUGGCAUCGAUGAAGAACGCAGCGAAAUGCGAUAAGUAAUGCGAAUUGCAGAAUUCCAGUGAGUCAUCGAAUCUUUGAACGCACAUUGCGCCCUUUGGUAUUCCGAAGGGCAUGCCUGUUCGAGCGUCAUUAUCACCCCUCAAGCCCCCGGCUUGGUGUUGGAUGGUUUGGUGACAGUGCCUGUUGGGCAACGGUCACCCCUCCCAAAGACAAUGACGGCGGCCUCGUUGGACCCCCGGUACACUGAGUUCCUUACCGAACACGUACUGGAUCCAAGGGCCCACGGAGCACGGUCUGCCUCCCCUCAGGGAGAACUAUUUUCUCAAGGUUGACCUCGGAUUCAGGUAGGAAUACCCGCUGAACUUAAGCAUAUCAAUAAGCGGAGGA